AACAUGUCUUAAAGAUUAUAGUUUUAAGUYUGAUCUGCUCAAUGAAUUAUUUUUAAAUAGCUGCAGUAUUUUGACUGUACAAAGGUAGCAUAAUCAAUAGUUUUUUAAUUUAAAGCUGGAAUGAAGGAUUAAAUAAAGUAAAAAUUGUUUCAAUUUUAAAAUAAUUAAAAUUUUAUUUUUAGUAAAAAUUCUAAAAUAAAUUUUAUAGACGAGAAGACCCUUUAGAUUUUUAUAUUUAUUUAAUAAAUAGAUAUUAAAUAGAUAUUUGGUUGGGGAAAUUAUUAAAUUUAAAAAAUUUUAAUUUUUAAAAUCAAAAAUUAAUGAUCAAGUGAAUUUUAUAAUUAAAUUAAAAAGAAUAAAAUACCUAAGGGAUAACAGCGUAAUUUUUUUUGGAAAGAUCUUAUUAAUAAAAAAGAUUGCGACCUCGAUGUUGAAUUAAGAUAAAAUUUUAAUGUAGAAGUUAAAAAUUUUUGGU
Molecule: ribosomal RNA, 475 nt
Filed under: Debilos indistinctum
Lineage: Eukaryota; Metazoa; Arthropoda; Insecta; Hymenoptera; Ichneumonidae
Description: partial 16S large subunit ribosomal RNA
Source: RNAcentral